RNAcentral lists this ribosomal RNA (253 nucleotides) under uncultured bacterium. RNAcentral describes it as "partial 16S ribosomal RNA". It matches the Rfam family "Bacterial small subunit ribosomal RNA", at positions 524 to 776 of the family's 1533-position model. The record is from RNAcentral.
UACAGAGGUCCCGAGCGUUGUUCGGAUUCAUUGGGCGUAAGGGGUGCGUAGGUGGCGCUGUAAGUGGGGUGUGAAAUCCCGGGGCUUAACCCCGGGACUGCAUUCCAUACUGCGGUGCUUGAGGACUGGAGAGGAGACUGGAAUUUACGGUGUAGCAGUGAAAUGCGUAGAGAUCGUAAGGAAGACCAGUGGCGAAGGCGGGUCUCUGGACAGUUCCUGACACUGAGGCACGAAGGCCAGGGGAGCGAACGGG